This 1242-nucleotide ribosomal RNA is filed under the name metagenome. RNAcentral's name for it is "bacterial LSU rRNA". It matches the Rfam family "Bacterial large subunit ribosomal RNA", at positions 1564 to 2816 of the family's 2925-position model. The record is from RNAcentral.
UGAAUACGAGACGCUAAGGCGUCGAAGUAGUGUAUGUCAUACUUCCAAGAAAAGCUUGCACUGUCAUAGAUAAAAAACGCCUGUACCAUAACCGACACAGGUGGGUAGGUAGAGUAUACUAAGGGGCGCGAGAUAACUCUCUCUAAGGAACUCGGCAAAAUAACUCCGUAACUUCGGGAGAAGGAGUGCCUUAUUCGUAAGGUUGCAAUAACAAGAUCCAAGCAACUGUUUAUCAAAAACACAGGUCUCCGCUAAGUCGUAAGACGAUGUAUGGGGGCUGACGCCUGCCCAGUGCCAGAAGGUUAAAGAAGUUGGUUAGCAAUUGCGAAGCUGAUAACUGAAGCCCUGGUGAACGGCGGCCGUAACAAUAACGGUCCUAAGGUAGCGAAAUUCCUUGUCGGGUAAGUUCCGACCCGCACGAAAGGCGUAAUGAUUUGGAUACUGUCUCGGAGAGGGGCUCGGUGAAAUAGACUUGUCUGUGAAGAUGCGGACUACCUGCACCAGGACAGAAAGACCCUAUGAAGCUUUACUGUAACUUGAAAUUGAAAUUGGACUUUAUUCGCGCAGUAUAGGUGGGAGGCGUUGAUUAUAAUCUUGUGGGAUUAUUGGAGCCAUCAGUGAGAUACCACUCUUGUAAUGUUAGAUUUCUAACUUUGAAUCAUUAUCUGGUCAAAGAACAGUUUCAGGCGGGCAGUUUGACUGGGGCGGUCGCCUCCUAAACGGUAACGGAGGCGUACAAAGGUUUCCUCUGAACGGUUAGAAAUCGUAUCUAGAGUGUAAAGGCAUAAGGAAGCUUGACUGUGAGACCUACAAGUCGAGCAGGGACGAAAGUCGGUCUUAGUGAUCUGACGGUACUGAGUGGAAAGGCCGUCACUCAACGGAUAAAAGUUACUCUAGGAUAACAGGCUGAUCUCCCCCAAGAGUUCACAUCGACGGGGAGGUUUGGCACCUCGAUGUCGGCUCAUCGCAUCCUGGGGCGGUAGUACGUCCCAAGGGUUGGGCUGUUCGCCCAUGAGAGCGGUACGCGAGCUGGGUUCAGAACGUCGUGAGACAGUUCGGUCCAUAUCCGGUGUAGGCGUUAGAAUAUUGAGAGGAGCCUUCUUUAGUACGAGAGGACCGAGAAGGACAUACCUCUGGUGUACCAGUUAUCGUGCCAACGGUAAACGCUGGGUAGCUAUGUAUGGAGUGGAUAACCGCUGAAAGCAUCUAAGUGGGAAGCCCACCUCAAGAUAAGUAUUCUCA